Long non-coding RNA from Hemicordylus capensis (graceful crag lizard), 530 nucleotides. RefSeq lists it as uncharacterized. The record is from RefSeq and is a predicted model, not a curated record. Lineage: Eukaryota; Metazoa; Chordata; Lepidosauria; Squamata; Cordylidae. The transcript has 3 exons.
AAGUCUGGCUAUGUAACAGGAUUCCUGGCUGGCAACAACAAUGAGGAAGAAGCUGUGAGAAUCGGAAGCGGGCAGCUUAUUGUGCUGAAGCAGCACAUCAGGGCUGUGAAUGGGCAUGAACGAUCGAUAAGAUAAAGGCCUUGGCAGCAUUGCGUCUGAGCCCAACAGUACAUCACCCCUUGCCUCUGGGACCCCAGAGCGGUGUACAUAGUUUCGUUUCUCCUCACAACAACCCUGUGAAGUAGGUUCAGCUGAGAGAGAAGUGACUGGCACAGAGUCACCCAGUAAGCAUCAUGGCUGAAUGGGGAUUUGAACUCAGGUCUCCCCGGUCCUUGUCCAGAACUUUAACCACUACGCCACACUGGUGGUGUAAGAGAGGUGUAAGAGAAGCAAGAGGGGAUAUUCUCUGUCUUCAUGACUAAGUAAUGGUUGAGUUACUUAAAAUAUGUUGUUUCUAAAGACCAUUAUCUCCCAAGUUACUCGGCAGAUACCGAUGCAACCCCAAUGUACUAUCAUUACAUGAAUGACUU